GAGGAGGAGACACAUCCUCGAGAGGAGGAGAUACAUCCUCGAGAGGAGGAGUUACAUCCUCGAGGAGACCUUAGCUGUUUUUGUGUUGACAUGUAUUGUUUUGCUUUACUUAUUGUAUUCUCAAAUGUAUUUACAUCCAAAUCAAUACAAUGAGUAGCCAUAUUUUCUGCAAUUCUGUGCCAUUUGAUCUAUGAUUGAUUGUGUGUUCUGAUUACCUCCUUUUUGAUACGAUGACAAAAAGGGGGAGAA
RNAcentral lists this long non-coding RNA (249 nucleotides) under Phoenix dactylifera (date palm). Its description in RNAcentral is "long non-coding RNA (PDAC_LNC021266)". The record is from RNAcentral. Lineage: Eukaryota; Viridiplantae; Streptophyta; Magnoliopsida; Arecales; Arecaceae.